ACAGGUUACCGCAGCAGGAUGCCAUCUCGUUGCUAGGCAUCACUGUAGGGAUCGAGAGAUCAACCUUUACCAGAGUUGUCUUGAAAGCACCAUAAAUCCAGAGAUUGCCAGACUUUGAUGACAACAUUUGCCCACAAGAAGGACCGUCGCGCAACCUUCCUGUUCAAGUGAGCACAGCACAGCGAUGAGUCCUAAAAUGCCUUGUAUGCUGCUGCAUAAAUGAUGUAAUAUGCCAUGGAGAUAUGUAUACUGUAGCUAAGAAAGUAAUACUAAGUGUAGUAAGGUGUUAAUAGUCCAUGUGCCUCACCCUAAUACUUUGGUCCCUUUCCCCCUCAUAAUUUAGCCUAAUGUUCAGACUUGGUGGUGGAUGUACAAGAUUUACAUGCGAAAAUCGCCACUGAUCACUGCCCUCUAGUGGCCCCAACAAAUGAAUGCAUUUUCUUCUAAUUAUUUUGGUUAGGGACUCCCAGUGGCGAUUUUAGCAUGGAAAUCUUGGUGGGGUAAAGUAAACUUUUUUUCUUUUGGGAUACAUGCCAGCAAAGCCACUGCACAACACAACACUAAACAAUACAUUAAUUGCACUAUAACGGUGACAAACGGUGCACACAAACUGUUAGUGUCUACAUAAAGCUGUCCCAACAGCAGAGCUUUCUUUUAAGCAUAAUGGAGUGAAUCCUUACCACCGCUAUACCUGGCUAUCAGCAGAGACUUGUCUGGCAGCGAAACAGUUCAUUCAGCCUCAUUUACUGCCUUUUAAAAAAAACAUAGCAGAUAUGGCUAAUUUUAUUAAUUAAUUUGAUAUGCGACCUGUACGCUCUCGUUGGCUGGCCCUCGCUUCAUACUCGUCGCCAAACCCACUGGCUCCAGGUCAUCUACAAGACCCUGCCAGGUAAAGUCCCGCCUUAUCUCUGCUCGCUGGUCACCAUUGCUGCACCCACCCGUAGCACGUGUUCCAGCAGGUAUAUCUCACUUGUCACCCCCAAAGCCAAUUCCUCCUUUGGCCGCCUCUCCUUCCAGUUCUCUGCUGCCAAUGACUGGAACGAACUACAAAAAUCUCUGAAACUGGAAACACUUAUCUCCC
Molecule: long non-coding RNA, 1081 nt
Filed under: Salmo salar (Atlantic salmon)
Lineage: Eukaryota; Metazoa; Chordata; Actinopteri; Salmoniformes; Salmonidae
Description: lncRNA (ENSSSAG00000107361.1)
Source: RNAcentral